RNAcentral lists this long non-coding RNA (2184 nucleotides) under Homo sapiens (human). RNAcentral describes it as "HSALNT0284195". Lineage: Eukaryota; Metazoa; Chordata; Mammalia; Primates; Hominidae. The record is from RNAcentral.
UGGGAAUGACAUGUAAUAACCUAAAGUUAUAACAAUCUAUUUUAAUCUGAUAUCAAUUUGACUUCAAGUACAUACAAACUCUGUACCUUUACAGCUCUGCCACCCCUUACACUUUAUGUUAUUAAUGUCACCUAUUAUAUCUAUAUAUAGUAUACAUAUUAAUAUAUAUUUAAAAUUAUUUUUAUAUCUUUAGUCCUGUAGAGGAAUAAAAAGUGUAAGUUUUAGUCAAAAUUAUAAUUCAUGUUUUUAUAUUUGUCCAUGUAUUAACCUUUACCAGAUAACUUUAUAUUUUCAUAUGAUUUUGAGUUACUGUCUAGCAACCUUUCAUUUCAACUUGAAGGGUAACCCUUAGCAUUUCUUGUAGGGCAGAUCCAGUCAUCACGAAUUCCCUUAGCUUUUGUUUAUUUGGGACUGACUGUGGAACUGUGUAAGAAGCUGCUGGAUUCUUCAGUGUUCAGGAAACAGCUCUCAACUGACUGAACGCAAGUUGCUUGAUUUGGGAAAGGUAAUUCCAAGUGAUGGAAAAAAUUGAACAAUGAUAGAAGCCCCUGUGUUCGGGUUUUCACUGGCUCAUGGGCAGUGACCAAUGGUCUGGCCACACACGCAGGCAAGAGGGUGAUGGAAACCUGUCCUAUUAGAAGAAUGCUUCUAUAGAACAAGGCCCUAUGGAGAUUUAAGGGGUGAAUUAAAGCAGAACAAGUCAAUGACCAACAAGUCAAUGACCAACAGAAGAACUCCCUUCUGGAUUCAUAAGGUGAUUGGAAUUAAAAAGCAGAUAUCCCCAUGUGCUCCCUUGAUGUGGCCACCUGCAUCAGUGAAACAGUUGGAUAUGGGAGUAUUGUAGCAGUAUAGAAAUGGGAUGAAUCAAGACAGGUUCCUUCUUCACUUUCUUAGGCACAAAAUCUCAGAAAGAAUUGUUCUGUUUUUCAUCAAGAGCGACAGAGACUGCUGAUGGCUAUGGGGCAGAUUCUCUGGUUGAAAGGCCCUGAACAUAGCUGGCAAGUGAGACUAAUGCCAGUAGCCCUAGAGGGCUAAAAAUGGGUCUUGACAGGAAUAAACACUGACUCUAAAGUGGGUUUUGCUUAUCCAUCUGAAGAUGAUAAUGUUCAGAGUGCCAUAAAAAGUAUAGAACAGAAGAUAUUGCAUGGAUUUGCAUGACCACUCAUCAUUUCUUCAGAUCAAGUAACACACUGUACAGCCCAUAAUGUCCAACAAUGGGUAGAGUGAUAUCCUGCUAAGAGUAAUAGCUUGACAGAGAAGUGGAACGGGUAAUUGAAACAUUGGUUGUCUAAAACAGGCAAAGAUAAAAGCAUGAAGGGCUGGCUUACAUGCUUAUAUAACAACUAUAAUUCUUUCUUUCUUUCUCAAAUUAUUUCAGAAAUAAAAUAUUUUAUUUUUUCUACCUGAUGCAGUGGUCCUAGAACCUGGAAAGCAACUACAAGUUUAAAUAGCAGGGGAGAUUUCUAAGCAAAAUGUAUAACAGUAUUUUUAAACCUUAUUUCAAAAUUCCUAAGGGCACUAUGGAGGUGGGUUGUGCCUUCACCCCAUCUAGAAAAAUUGGGGCUAACAGUGAAUGCAGCUAUAUUGCCGGAUGGUAAAAAUAACUCACUAGUUCUGCCCCUAUGUAACCUUACUCUAUCUGAAUGGAAGUGGAUUGAGGAGGAGCUACUUGCCAGACUUGUAUUGCUACCUGCAAUCUAGACCAGCACAGUGGCAAUUCUAAUGUCUCUUCCAAAGUUGAAAAAGGUUUGGGUAUUAAUGGAGAGAAGGAGAAAUACCAGCUGAAAUUAAAGAAAUGAAUAACUGGGUUAUUAACUGAGAUAAAAUUCAAAAUUACAUUAACAACUCAAAAUAGUCUCAAAGCAAGAGAUGAUAUUGUCUCUUAGUGCAAUUAUUCCAGAUGCCAGAAAGGGUAAUGCUGUAUAUUUACUAAGGCCACUCCUGCUAUUGGAAGCUGACAAGAUUGAGAGGAAACCUACAAACCUGAGUGGCCUCAUCCUGGGAGACAUUUAUACAACAUGAUGGACUGGAAUAAUUAAUAAUGAUUUUAUAUAAUAUAUAUAUAUUAAUGUAAAUGAUCUGUGAUUGAAAGCCAGGGGGUGGCCUGUGGUGUUAUGAUAUAUAUUGGUUUUCAUCAUUGGUUUGUGGCUUAUAACUCCUAUUACACUUAUUAAAGUAUUUUGU